UUCCAGAUCAGUUUCUACUUGCGAUCAUUUUAUUUGAACCCUUGCUUGCCUUCCUCGUUACUUUUGCUCUUUAGAAAUCUUCCUUCAGCUUAUCCUUCCCUGGCUAAAUUUAAUGUGUCUCAUCUGGGUAACUUCUCUAGAGCAGACUGCACGCUUCGUGGUUCAGAUUUAGCAACUGAAUGUUUGAUGUCUGAUUUAUUCUUUUUUUUUUUUUUUUUUUUCUUUCUAUUUUUUCUUCUUCCUUUGGAAACUAGAGAAUAGCUAAUGUACUGCAGAAUAUUUUACCUUGACUACCUCACCUCUGGAACAGUUUGUCUGCUUGACACUUAAGGACAUGUGUGUACAUCUGAAUGUCCUUGAAUAAUUCUGAAAAAUUCACCACCCUCCAGAAAGAGAACCUGGAAAGUAACAUUUGCUGUAGAUGUCUGCUUCUGUCUGGUGUGAUGCUCCAUUCUUCUGGCUAUGUCACAUGCAGCACUGAGUAAUAUUGGUAAAUAGAAGAGGUCUCUUAGAAUAAGGUUUUUAAAGCUUCAUAGGGUAUGGAAUGAGACAACUCCACCUGCGCACUGAGAUUUGCUUAAAAUCCAAGCUGUUUGCAGGGAAGGGAAGUGCUAUUUCUUCUUUCUGCUCUUAAAAAAAAACAACAAACAUUAACACUGGCAAUUAAAAAUGAUGGAGAGCACUUGAUAUGCAUCCAGCCAGCUGUAGUUAUGUUUUAUAGAAAACAUUUAAAAUCAGCAGAUCUGAAAUGUUUUACUGAAAAUAAUUAAAAUAGCAUGUACUAACAUUUUUAGAUUUGUGAAAGAUACAAAUGCCCAUAA
Molecule: long non-coding RNA, 821 nt
Filed under: Coturnix japonica (Japanese quail)
Lineage: Eukaryota; Metazoa; Chordata; Aves; Galliformes; Phasianidae
Description: lncRNA (ENSCJPG00005004509.1)
Source: RNAcentral